Papaver somniferum (opium poppy) is the source of this 1960-nucleotide RNA transcript. It is a transcript of the gene named pentatricopeptide repeat-containing protein At4g18840-like, with no coding region annotated. The transcript is spliced from 2 exons. The record is from RefSeq and is a predicted model, not a curated record. NCBI's taxonomy places the organism in Eukaryota, Viridiplantae, Streptophyta, Magnoliopsida, Ranunculales, Papaveraceae.
GAUUGUAAUAACAAUCACUGAAUUUUUGUUGUGAACGAUACAUUAUCCAUAACAAUGGCGUUUUCCAUAUCUCAGCCUUCAAUAAUUUCAUUCACAGAGCUAGCAAAUUCUCUGUCUGAAAUCAACCAAGCUCAUGCACACAUGCUCAAAACUGGUCUCUUUCAUGACUCUUAUGCAGCUAGUCGUUUAAUUUCUUUCUCUACAAUUUCGACCUCCAUUUCUAAUCCUAAAACGUUAACUCAUGCUUCCUCUGUAUUCAGUAGAAUUCCUAACCCUAGUUCUUAUCUGUGGAACACCAUGAUUCGGUCUUAUGCUAACAGUUGUAACCCUGAAGAAUCACUUCUUCUCUUUCAUCAAAUGCUUUAUGAUUCAUUCUACCCUGAUAAGUUUACUUACACUUUUGCUCUUAAAGCUUGCUCUUUCCUACUUGGUAUUGAAGAAGGACGACAAAUUCAUGGUCAAAUUCUUAAAACUGGAAAUGGGUUUGAUUGUUACAUUCAGAAUUCCUUGAUUAAUCUUUAUGCCAGAACUGGGUAUUUCGACAAUGCAUACCUUUUGCUCGAUAGAAUGAUUCAAAAGGAUGCCAUUUCGUGGAAUGCAAUUUUAAGUGCUUAUACAGAAAGAGGUUUAAUGGAGAAUGCCAGGAACCUGUUUGAAGAAAUGCCCGACAAGAAUGUUGAAUCUUGGAAUUUUAUGAUUUCUGGGUAUGUGGGUGUUGAAUUGGUUGAAGAAGCGAGAAUUCUCUUUGAUGAAAUGCCAUUGAAAGAUGUUGUUUCUUGGAACGCUUUGAUUACAGGAUAUGCACAUUCAAAUCAAUUCGGACAAGUUUUGAAGCUUUUUGAAGAUAUGCAAUUUGCAAACGUGAAACCGGAUAAUUACACACUUGUAAAUGCGUUGUCUGCUUGCGCCCAGUUUGGAGCUUUGAAGCAAGGAGAAUGGAUUCAUGCUUAUGUUGAUAAAAACGGCAUCAACAUUCAUGGAUUCUUAGCUACUGCUUUCGUUGAUAUGUAUUCAAAAUGUGGGUGCAUAGAUAAGGCUUUAAGAGUGUUUAAUGGCACUACUAAAGAAAGAGAUAUUAGUACAUGGAAUUCGGUAAUUGCGGGUUUAAGCAUUCAUGGAUAUGGUAAAGAGGCAGUAGAGAAGUUCUAUGAAAUGAUGAAUGAUGGAUGUAAACCAAAUGAAAUCACAUUUGUUAGUGUUCUCUCUGCUUGCAGCCGUUCUGGUCUAUUGGAAGAAGGGCAUCGGAUUUACGAACUCAUGGUUCGUGUUCAUGGACUUAAACCAUCUAUUGAACACUAUGGUUGUAUAGUCGAUUUACUAGGUCGGGCUGGUCAUCUAAAGGAGGCCCUGACGCUUGUUCAGACGAUGCCUUUAAAGGAAGAUUCUGUAGGUGUUUGGGAGUCAUUAUUGAGUGCUUGUAGAAGUCAUGGCAAUGUUGAAGUAGCGGAGAUUAUAGCAGAGAAGAUCUUAAAAUUAAACCCUAUGGAUAGUUACAGUUAUGUUCAAUUAUCAAAUAUAUAUGCAGCUAAGGAGAGGUGGGGUGAUGUUAGGGAAGUGCGGAGGAAAAUGCGAAUACAGAAAGUAAGAAAGGAACCAGGUGGUAGUAUGAUAGAGGUAGAUGGAGUAGUUCAUGAGUUCUUGGCUGGGGAUGGGUUGCAUGCUUAAAAAUCAGCUAAUAUAUUGACGAGAUGCAGUCAUAGAUGACCGAAUUCCACAAGAGUUCAAAGGUGAAAUGUAGAGAGAUUUCCUUGAACCUGAAGCUGCAUAACUGCCGUACCCGUUCUCAGUGUCUUCUAUCGUUUUAAUUGGCUCUAAAUCCUUGGGUUUCUUCUCUGCUUGUUCCAGUUCUGUACUAGUUGUAGUUCUUUUUGGACUCAGUUUAUUUGAUUCUCGGCCAGAAUGAGAAUAUUUCUGAUAUGUUCUUCUUGAUUUCCUGACAAUAACUUUUCGACCUUUUCGA